AGUUUGUAUACCGCUGUUGUCAGUCAGUUUCUUUAGAAAACUUUCUAUUAUGAAAAAAUCAUAGACUUCAAGUAAAGGUGCAGCUUAUGAGAAAGAUAGAGGUGGGUUACAUUUAUUAGAUUAAUACAAAUAAAGUUUAUGAAAUAUCUUUUGAAGGUGGAUUUAAUUGUAAAGUUUAAGAAAACUUGAUGUGAGCUCUAUCUUGUGUACAC
RNAcentral lists this ribosomal RNA (212 nucleotides) under Galkinius indicus. RNAcentral's name for it is "partial 12S ribosomal RNA". Lineage: Eukaryota; Metazoa; Arthropoda; Thecostraca; Balanomorpha; Pyrgomatidae. The record is from RNAcentral.